CCUACGGGAGGCAGCAGUGGGGAAUAUUGGACAAUGGGCGCAAGCCUGAUCCAGCAAUGCCGCGUGAGUGAUGAAGGCCUUCGGGUCGUAAAGCUCUUUUACCAGGGAUGAUAAUGACAGUACCUGGAGAAUAAGCUCCGGCUAACUCCGUGCCAGCAGCCGCGGUAAUACGUAGGAUCCGAGCGUUGUCCGGAGUUACUGGGUGUAAAGGGUGCGUAGGCUGUUCUGUGCGUCAGAGGUGAAAUCCACGGGCUUAACUCGUGGGGUGCCUUUGAUACGGCAGGGCUUGAGUACGAGAGAGGUGCGUGGAAUUCCUGGUGUAGCAGUGAAAUGCGUAGAUAUCAGGAGGAACACCGGUGGCGAAGGCGGCGCACUGGCUCGUAACUGACGCUGAGGCACGAAAGCGUGGGGAUCAAACAGGAUUAGAUACCCUGGUAGUCCACGCCUUAAACGAUGCAUGCUUGGUGUUGGUCUCGCAAGAGAUCAGUGCCGUAGUUAACAUGAUAAGCAUGCCACCUGGGGAGUACGAUCGCAAGGUUGAAACUCAAAGGAAUUGACGG
This 560-nucleotide ribosomal RNA is filed under the name uncultured Alphaproteobacteria bacterium. RNAcentral's name for it is "bacterial SSU rRNA". It matches the Rfam family "Bacterial small subunit ribosomal RNA", at positions 338 to 916 of the family's 1533-position model. The record is from RNAcentral. Lineage: Bacteria; Pseudomonadati; Pseudomonadota; Alphaproteobacteria.